RNAcentral lists this transfer RNA (75 nucleotides) under Holdemanella biformis. RNAcentral describes it as "tRNA-Trp". It matches the Rfam family "tRNA". From Rfam's summary of the family: Transfer RNA (tRNA) molecules are approximately 80 nucleotides in length. RNAcentral also lists the same sequence under 15 other names. Lineage: Bacteria; Bacillati; Bacillota; Erysipelotrichia; Erysipelotrichales; Erysipelotrichaceae. The record is from RNAcentral.
AGGGGUAUCGUCCAAAGGCUAAGAUAGCGGUCUCCAAAACCGUUGAUGUGGGUUCGAGUCCUACUACCCCUGCCA